Molecule: ribosomal RNA, 253 nt
Filed under: uncultured bacterium
Lineage: Bacteria
Description: partial 16S ribosomal RNA
Rfam family: Bacterial small subunit ribosomal RNA
Source: RNAcentral
UACGUAGGGGGCGAGCGUUGUCCGGAUUUAUUGGGCGUAAAGAGCGUGUAGGCGGCUUGGUAGGUCCGCUGUGAAAACUCGGGGCUCAACCCCGAGAGGUCGGUGGAAACCAUCUGGCUAGAGUCCGGAAGAGGAGAGUGGAAUUCCCGGUGUAGCGGUGAAAUGCGCAGAUAUCGGGAAGAACACCCGUGGCGAAGGCGGCUCUCUGGGACGGUACUGACGCUGAGACGCGAAAGCGUGGGGAGCGAACAGG